This 816-nucleotide ribosomal RNA is filed under the name uncultured bacterium. Its description in RNAcentral is "bacterial SSU rRNA". It matches the Rfam family "Bacterial small subunit ribosomal RNA", at positions 8 to 853 of the family's 1533-position model. The record is from RNAcentral.
AGAGUUUGAUCAUGGCUCAGGAUGAACGCUGGCGGCGUGCCUAACACAUGCAAGUCGAGCGAUUUACUUCGGUAAAGAGCGGCGGACGGGUGAGUAACGCGUGGGUAACCUGCCUCAUACACAUGGAUAACAUACCGAAAGGUAUGCUAAUACAAGAUGGUAUAAGAGAUUCGCAUGGAUUUCUUAUCAAAGCUUUUGCGGUAUGAGAUGGACCCGCGUCUGAUUAGCUAGUUGGUAAGGUAACGGCUUACCAAGGCGACGAUCAGUAGCCGACCUGAGAGGGUGAUCGGCCACAUUGGAACUGAGACACGGUCCAAACUCCUACGGGAGGCAGCAGUGGGGAAUAUUGCACAAUGGGCGAAAGCCUGAUGCAGCAACGCCGCGUGAGCGAUGAAGGCCUUCGGGUCGUAAAGCUCUGUCCUCAAGGAAGAUAAUGACGGUACUUGAGGAGGAAGCCCCGGCUAACUACGUGCCAGCAGCCGCGGUAAUACGUAGGGGGCUAGCGUUACCCGGAUUUACUGGGCGUAAAGGGUGCGUAGGUGGUUUCUUAAGUCAGGAGUGAAAGGCUACGGCUCAACCGUAGUAAGCUCUUGAAACUGGGAAACUUGAGUGCAGGAGAGGAAAGUGGAAUUCCUAGUGUAGCGGUGAAAUGCGUAGAUAUUAGGAGGAACACCAGUAGCGAAGGCGGCUUUCUGGACUGUAACUGACACUGAGGCACGAAAGCGUGGGGAGCAAACAGGAUUAGAUACCCUGGUAGUCCACGCCGUAAACGAUGAGUACUAGGUGUCGGGGGUUACCCCCCUCGGUGCCGCAGCU